UUUUAUCAUUUCAAACAUAAAAACUUCAAUCUAUUCAAUUCUUCGCACAUAAUUCUGCUUCAAGAAAAUUAAAUAAUGCACUCUGAGGUUCACAGGCUACCAACUUUAAUAAAUUGAGAGAUUACUCAUACAAGCUCCUACAAUUCAAGGCACGACCUUAGUGGGAUUUUUCAUAUUAAUUGAGGUGUUGAAAUAGAAUCAAGCAUGCCAGCAGUAGAAACUCUUUUAAUUAAAAUCAGAAUAAAUAAAUAAAUAAGUAACUAACUAAAACUUCCCUUUGUUAAUGAACCUUGGCGUGUCCCUCAAGCACGUCCGAGGGAUGAAUGAACAUCAGAUGUGCCCAAAUAAACGAUGAAUGAAAACAGGAUGAACUUUGGAUGAAUGAGAGUGAGAUGAACGCGGGGUGAACGAUGGAUGGGUGUCGGAUAGGUGUUAGGGACAAGACUGUGGUGGUGGUGGGGGACAAGACUGACGGUGAAGGGAGUGGGAUUUUGCGGCGUGAAGCAGCGGCAGUUGUGAUGGGAUUGCCCCGGAGGAUCGUGAAAGGGAAGCAGAAGAAGAAGAAGAAGCAGAUGCAGCACAACAUGGAAGCUGUUCAACGUUGACGCAGUCAUUGUAGCAGCUCGGCUAUGGCAGCGACAACAGCAGCAGUAGUUUCAGCAGCAGUUUUCACUCAGACUCGCCACUGUCGGACCCCAUGCGCGGCGCAAAUUGACACUCUGAACUGGGUCCUUUCAAGCUGGGCUGCUGCUAAUUGCACUGGCACUGCGUGUGAGGUGAACGUCCGUGUUAAGC
RNAcentral lists this long non-coding RNA (795 nucleotides) under Physcomitrium patens. RNAcentral describes it as "long non-coding RNA (PPAT_LNC013490)". The record is from RNAcentral. Lineage: Eukaryota; Viridiplantae; Streptophyta; Bryopsida; Funariales; Funariaceae.